This 253-nucleotide ribosomal RNA is filed under the name uncultured bacterium. RNAcentral describes it as "partial 16S ribosomal RNA". It matches the Rfam family "Archaeal small subunit ribosomal RNA", at positions 474 to 727 of the family's 1478-position model. The record is from RNAcentral.
UACCAGCACCCCGAGUGGUCGGGACGUUUAUUGGGCCUAAAGCAUCCGUAGCCGGUUCUGCAAGUCUUCCGCUAAAUCCACCUGCUUAACAGAUGGGCCGCGGAAGAUACUAUAGAGCUAGGAGGCGGGAGAGGCAAGCGGUACUCGAUGGGUAGGGGUAAAAUCCGUUGAUCCAUUGAAGACCACCGGUGGCGAAGGCGGCAUCCUGGACCGACACUGACGCUGAGGAGCGAAAGCCAGGGGAGCAAACGGG